GAUGAAGAACGCAGCGAAAUGCGAUAAGUAAUGUGAAUUGCAGAAUUCAGUGAAUCAUCGAAUCUUUGAACGCACAUUGCGCCCGCCAGUAUUCUGGCGAGCAUGCCUGUUCGAGCGUCAUUUCAACCAUCAAGCCCCAGGCUUGUGUUGGAGCCCUGCGGCUGCCGCAGCCUCCCAAAACCAGUGGCGGGCUCGCUGUCACACCGAGUGCAGUAGUUUACUCUUCGCUCAGGGCGUGUGGCGGGUGCUAGCCGUGAAACCCCCAACUUCUCAAGGUUGACCUCGGAUCAGGUAGGAAUACCCGCUGAACUUAAGCAUAUCAAUAAGCGGAGGA
This 334-nucleotide unclassified non-coding RNA is filed under the name soil metagenome. Its description in RNAcentral is "partial contains 5.8S ribosomal RNA, internal transcribed spacer 2, and large subunit ribosomal RNA". The stretch from base 1 to 120 matches the Rfam family "5.8S ribosomal RNA", at positions 35 to 154 of the family's 154-position model. The record is from RNAcentral.